GCAUAUCAAUAAGCGGAGGAAAAGAAACCAACAGGGAUUGCCCCCAGUAACGGCGAGUGAAGCGGCAACAGCUCAAAUUUGAAAUCUGGCUUCGGCCCGAGUUGUAAUUUGCAGAGGAAGCUUUAGGCGCGGCACCAUCUGAGUCCCCUGGAACGGGGCGCCACAGAGGGUGAGAGCCCCGUAUAGAUGGACGCCUAGCCUGUGUAAAGCUCCUUCGACGAGUCGAGUAGUUUGGGAAUGCUGCUCAAAAUGGGAGGUAAAUUUCUUCUAAAGCUAAAUACCGGCCAGAGACCGAUAGCGCACAAGUAGAGUGAUCGAAAGAUGAAAAGCACUUUGAAAAGAGGGUUAAAUAGCACGUGAAAUUGUUGAAAGGGAAGCGCUUGUGACCAGACUUGCGCCGGGCGGAUCAUCCGGUGUUCUCACCGGUGCACUCCGCCCGGCUCAGGCCAGCAUCGGUUCUCGUGGGGGGAUAAAGGCACCGGGAACGUAGCUCCUCCGGGAGUGUUAUAGCCCGGGGCGUAAUGCCCUCGCGGGGACCGAGGACCGCGCAUCUGCAAGGAUGCUGGCGUAAUGGUCAUCAGCGACCCGUCUUGAAACACGGACCAAGGAGUCAAGGUUUUGCGCGAGUGUUUGGGUGUAAAACCCGCACGCGUAAUGAAAGUGAACGUAGGUGAGAGCUUCGGCGCAUCAUCGACCGAUCCUGAUGUUUUCGGAUGGAUUUGAGUAGGAGCGUUAAGCCUUGGACCCGAAAGAUGGUGAACUAUGCUUGGAUAGGGUGAAGCCAGAGGAAACUCUGGUGGAGGCUCGCAGCGGUUUCUGACGUGCAAAUCGAUUCGUCAAAUUACUGAGCAUGGGGGCGAAAGACUAAUCGAACCAUCUAGUAGCUGGUUACCGCCGAA
This 899-nucleotide ribosomal RNA is filed under the name Botryotrichum piluliferum. RNAcentral's name for it is "LSU rRNA". It matches the Rfam family "Eukaryotic large subunit ribosomal RNA", at positions 38 to 965 of the family's 3401-position model. Lineage: Eukaryota; Fungi; Ascomycota; Sordariomycetes; Sordariales; Chaetomiaceae. The record is from RNAcentral.